Molecule: ribosomal RNA, 464 nt
Filed under: Vreelandella stevensii
Lineage: Bacteria; Pseudomonadati; Pseudomonadota; Gammaproteobacteria; Oceanospirillales; Halomonadaceae
Description: partial 16S ribosomal RNA
Rfam family: Bacterial small subunit ribosomal RNA
Source: RNAcentral
CCUACGGGGGGCUGCAGUGGGGAAUAUUGGACAAUGGGGGGAACCCUGAUCCAGCCAUGCCGCGUGUGUGAAGAAGGCCCUCGGGUUGUAAAGCACUUUCAGUGAGGAAGAACGCCUGGUGGUUAAUACCCAUCAGGAAAGACAUCACUCACAGAAGAAGCACCGGCUAACUCCGUGCCAGCAGCCGCGGUAAUACGGAGGGUGCGAGCGUUAAUCGGAAUUACUGGGCGUAAAGCGCGCGUAGGUGGCUUGAUAAGCCGGUUGUGAAAGCCCCGGGCUCAACCUGGGAACGGCAUCCGGAACUGUCAAGCUAGAGUGCAGGAGAGGAAGGUAGAAUUCCCGGUGUAGCGGUGAAAUGCGUAGAGAUCGGGAGGAAUACCAGUGGCGAAGGCGGCCUUCUGGACUGACACUGACACUGAGGUGCGAAAGCGUGGGUAGCAAACAGGAUUAGAUACCCAGUAGUC